RNAcentral lists this ribosomal RNA (254 nucleotides) under uncultured bacterium. RNAcentral's name for it is "partial 16S ribosomal RNA". It matches the Rfam family "Bacterial small subunit ribosomal RNA", at positions 524 to 776 of the family's 1533-position model. The record is from RNAcentral.
UACGUAGGGACCGAGCGUUGUCCGGAUUCAUUGGGCGUAAAGAGCUCGUAGGCGGCUGCUCAAGUCGAUUGUGAAAACUCGGAGCUCAACUCCGAGCCCGCGUUCGAUACUGGGCGGCUAGAGUCUGGUAGGGGGAUCUGGAAUUCCUGGUGUAGCGGUGGAAUGCGCAGAUAUCAGGAGGAACACCGGUGGCGAAGGCGGGAUCCUGGGCCAGUACUGACGCUGACAGCGCGAAAGCCAGGGGAGCAAACGGG